GUGCUUGCUUUGGCAGCACAUAUACUAAAAUUGGAACAAUACAGGGAAGAAUAGCAUGGCCCCUGCGCAAGGAUGACACAAAAAGGAAAAAAAAUUAAAAUAAACAA
Molecule: small nuclear RNA, 107 nt
Organism: Prolemur simus (greater bamboo lemur)
Lineage: Eukaryota; Metazoa; Chordata; Mammalia; Primates; Lemuridae
Source: Ensembl